This 375-nucleotide long non-coding RNA is filed under the name Physcomitrium patens. Its description in RNAcentral is "long non-coding RNA (PPAT_LNC002162)". The record is from RNAcentral. Lineage: Eukaryota; Viridiplantae; Streptophyta; Bryopsida; Funariales; Funariaceae.
ACGGCAAUGAUUGAGUUAAUCAGAGUCCAAUUUACUUGUUCCGGAGGUGAAACUCCAUCCCUGAUUUCCUAUGUGUCUCAACAUGUUUUUCUAGGCCUGAUGGAGCUAAGAAGGCGUAUGUGAGAUUGACAGCUGAUUACGAUGCGCUUGAUGUGGCCAACAAGAUUGGUAUCAUCUAAAUUUUCUGUUCAAUUUGGUAAACAUCUGAAUUGAAAGACGUGGCUUUGGUUUACCUGCCCAGUGCAGUUUCGUCCUUCUGCGCCAAAUUUGCAUUUUUUACCUGCCCACAGAUGUCUCUGGAGCUUGCUUUAUUCGUAGAGUUUGCGAAAACUAAGUUUACGUUAUUCAGGAACUGGGUUGAACUUAUUAUGUUUU